This 1254-nucleotide ribosomal RNA is filed under the name Thermoanaerobacter pseudethanolicus ATCC 33223. RNAcentral describes it as "bacterial LSU rRNA". It matches the Rfam family "Bacterial large subunit ribosomal RNA", at positions 1 to 1207 of the family's 2925-position model. Lineage: Bacteria; Bacillati; Bacillota; Clostridia; Thermoanaerobacterales; Thermoanaerobacteraceae. The record is from RNAcentral.
GGUCAAGUGAGGUAAGGGCAUAUGGUGGAUGCCUCGGCACUUGGAGCCGAAGAAGGACGCGGCAAGCGGCGAAACGCUCCGGGGAGCCGCAAGCGGGCGAAGAUCCGGAGGUCUCCGAAUGGGGGAACCCACUCGAGGUAAUACUCGAGUAUCCACUGAUGAACACAUAGUCAGUGGAGGGGAACCGCGCGAACUGAAACAUCUAAGUAGCGCGAGGAAAAGAAAGAAAGGAAUCGAUUCCCUAAGUAGCGGCGAGCGAAAGGGGAGGAGCCCAAACCCGGCACUCAAGUGGACAUGGAAUUAUAGGCAAAAAAGAUGAUAUAAUACGUGUCCACUUGAGUGCCGGGGGUUAGGACCCACCGUAAAAGUGAGUGAGUACUCUAGGCGAACGGAUCUGGAAAGGCCGGCCGAAGAAGGUGAAAGCCCUGUAGUCGAAAGGGGAAAGCUUGCUGGUGGGGACCAGAGUACCACGGGAUAGGCGACCCUGUGGGAAGGCGGGAGGACCACCUCCCAAGGCUAAAUACUACCAAGUGACCGAUAGCGGAUAGUACCGUGAGGGAAAGGUGAAAAGAACCCCGGGAGGGGAGUGAAAGAGAACCUGAAACCAUAUGCCUACAAGCAGUCAGAGUCUGCCGUAAGGCAGAUGAUGGCGUACUUUUUGUAGAACGGGCCGGCGAGUUACGGUAGCAAGCGAGGUUAAGCGGUAAGCGGAGCCGAAGCGAAAGCGAGUCCGAAAAGGGCGAAAGUUUGCUGCUGUAGACCCGAAACCGUGCGACCUACCCAUGGCCAGGGUGAAGCCGGAGUAAGAUCUGGUGGAGGCCCGAACCACGUUGGCGUUGAAAAGCCAUGGGAUGAGCUGUGGGUAGAGGUGAAAUGCCAAUCGAGCACGGAGAUAGCUGGUUCUCCCCGAAAUAGCUUUAGGGCUAGCCUCAGGGUAGGACCUAUGGAGGUAGAGCACUGAAUGGGCUAGGGGCCAAGGAGGUUACCGAACCCUAUCAAACUCCGAAUGCCAUAGGUUAAUACCUGGGAGUCAGACUACGAGUGAUAAGAUCCGUAGUCGAGAGGGGAACAGCCCAGACCUCCAGCUAAGGUCCCAAAGGGCAUGUUAAGUGGUAAAGGAAGUGGGACUUCGAAGACAACCAGGAUGUUGGCUUAGAAGCAGCCAUACAUUUAAAGAGUGCGUAACAGCUCACUGGUCGAGAGGUCCUGCGCCGAAAAUGAACGGGGCUCAAACAUGCCACCGAAGCUGGGGCU